ACCACUGGUAAUCUGCCCAGCGUAAAUAAUAUUAGCGGCCGCAGUACCUUGACUGUGCUAAGGUAGCAUAAUCAAUUGGCUUUUAAUUGAAGUCUGGAAUGAAGGGGUUUAAUGGGAAUUCACUGUCUUUAUAAUAUUUUUUUGAAUUUAUUUAUUAAGUGAAAAUGCUUAUACGUAGAAAAAAGACGAGAAGACCCUUAGAAUUUUUAAUAAACUAUUUUAAUAUUAUUUUUUUGUUGGGGCGACAUUGAAACAUUUAAACUUUCUUUUUUUACAUGACAUUAAGAUUUGAAAGGUUAAAUUACCUUAGGGAUAACAGCAUAAUUAAUUUUUUAGUUUGUGACCUCGAUGUUGGACUAGGAACUAAAAGACUAACCGUCAAAAUAGUUUGUUCUG
This 396-nucleotide ribosomal RNA is filed under the name Ladislavella elodes. RNAcentral's name for it is "partial 16S ribosomal RNA". The record is from RNAcentral. Lineage: Eukaryota; Metazoa; Mollusca; Gastropoda; Lymnaeidae.